Molecule: long non-coding RNA, 1200 nt
Filed under: Triticum aestivum (bread wheat)
Lineage: Eukaryota; Viridiplantae; Streptophyta; Magnoliopsida; Poales; Poaceae
Description: long non-coding RNA (TAES_LNC012594)
Source: RNAcentral
AGUAUACAUGCUCUUUGAUGUGUUCAUCUUUUGAGCAAAUAAGUCUAGCAAUGCUAGUGAAGACACAAAGAAAACUUGGAAACUGUCAGGAACCGGUGCCUAUGGCAACAAGGCAGGACAUGUGUGCAUGGCAACACUACAUAGCCGGAGGUACAAUUGGAUCACAUUCUGCUAGUACAUCAAAUGUGCUGGUUAACUGUACAAUUAUUUCUUCCACAUUGGAAAACAACCUGAUUUUUUUUCCUGAAACAUACUUAUAAUACAACUAUUAGUGGUACCAAAGGUUAGUGAAAUCAUGCCUUGCAGGAAUUUUCUUUGUUCCAUAUGAUAGUGUGACAAGUAAGCCUCCAUGACUCCGGUUUCUGACCAUGCCAAUGAGCUGCAAAGAAUAGAGUUAAUUAACAACUUUACAAUAAAAUCAUCAAAGCAGCAGUCUUCAUGGGUGAAUAGUGUUACAGUGCAUAAAUAGUGUUAUAUAACGAGGUUGCAAACUUGCAAUACAAAAUAGUGGUAAACCAAUAAUAAUUAUGUAUAAGCAUGCAUGAGACCAAUAUUCGGCCUCCAAUACAUAUUAGUGGCAAAUCAAUAAAAAAAUAUGUAUAAGCAUGAGAGAAAAUUUGGGAUAGCAUCUAAGCAUACGUGUAUAGGUCACAUACCAAGAAUAGACAUAAUUAGCAUGCACAAGCGUCGGGAGAAUCCACCAGUUCUUCAAUCAACAAAAAUAAAGCCACCCCAAUCCUCCAACCAAUAUUAAAGGAAUCAAUUGAGAAAUCAGCAUAUAGAGAUGGGAGGUGCUGCCGGCGUCAGUGGUCCCGGUGGGAGAGGAGCGGCGCAUCACUGUUUCAAACGAGUCAAUGAGACAAUAAAGGUCCAGAUUUUAACAAAUUAGAAAUCAAAAUGAUAAGAUGCAAGGUUCAUGACUUACACAAAAAGAGCUCUUUUGGGAUUGUAAGAUGCAUCAGCUCGAAUUAGGAACUAUCAUCCUCACCAUUUCCAAUAAAAAUGAAAUGAUAGGAGAACCAGUAAUUCACAUUUGCUUCACCAUGAAACCUUGAGCAUUCUGCAGUUGUUUUGACUGCACGUAAUUUGGCAAUUGAAUAGGAAAAUGGGUUCAAAGACGACACAAGCUACGUAGGUAAAGGGCAGAAAAGUCACACUGGGUAUCUUCAAUUACAAAUGGAAAUAAUUUCACUGAAAUAA